GGAGUGGUGGCUCAGUGGUUAAGAGCACUGACUGCUGUUCCAGAGAUUCUGAGUUCAAUUCCCAGCAAACCUC
Rattus norvegicus (Norway rat) is the source of this 73-nucleotide non-coding RNA. Lineage: Eukaryota; Metazoa; Chordata; Mammalia; Rodentia; Muridae. The record is from Rfam.